Humulus lupulus (European hop) is the source of this 329-nucleotide long non-coding RNA. RefSeq lists it as uncharacterized. The record is from RefSeq and is a predicted model, not a curated record. NCBI's taxonomy places the organism in Eukaryota, Viridiplantae, Streptophyta, Magnoliopsida, Rosales, Cannabaceae. The transcript has 3 exons.
AAGUUUGUUUAGUAAUAUUUUAUUUAUUAAUUAAUUUAGUUUUGUAGGUUGUGAAUUUAAUAGCAAAGUGCGCUCUUUGCAAAGUGAAGUAAAUUUGCUAGCAAAGACUAUUAAUUGCAAGUGUGUCCAUACCAACCAGACAAUGUGCCAUUUGGAUAUUAUGUGAUGAGGAUGUUGAAUGAUUACAUUGAACAUCCACGACCUGGACGUUACUUGAAGAAAGAGCUAAACACUACGCCAUAUACACCAACACAGAUUAAUGAAAUGCGACAACACUGGGCGAACCAUAUGCUACCGAUAAUUCAAAGUAAUCGUCCCACAUAUUAGGU